AGUGAACGCUGGCGGUAGGCCUAACGCAUGCAAGUCGAACGGCAGCACAGUAAGAGCUUGCUCUUACGGGUGGCGAGUGGCGGACGGGUGAGGAAUACAUCGGAAUCUACUUUUUCGUGGGGGAUAACGUAGGGAAACUUACGCUAAUACCGCAUACGACCUACGGGUGAAAGCAGGGGAUCUUCGGACCUUGCGCGAUUGAAUGAGCCGAUGUCGGAUUAGCUAGUUGGCGGGGUAAAGGCCCACCAAGGCGACGAUCCGUAGCUGGUCUGAGAGGAUGAUCAGCCACACUGGAACUGAGACACGGUCCAGACUCCUACGGGAGGCAGCAGUGGGGAAUAUUGGACAAUGGGCGCAAGCCUGAUCCAGCCAUACCGCGUGGGUGAAGAAGGCCUUCGGGUUGUAAAGCCCUUUUGUUAGGAAAGAAAAGCAGCAGGUUAAUACCCCGCUGUUCUGACGGUACCCAAAGAAUAAGCACCGGCUAACUUCGUG
This 492-nucleotide ribosomal RNA is filed under the name uncultured bacterium. RNAcentral's name for it is "partial 16S ribosomal RNA". It matches the Rfam family "Bacterial small subunit ribosomal RNA", at positions 29 to 507 of the family's 1533-position model. The record is from RNAcentral.